RNAcentral lists this transfer RNA (71 nucleotides) under Loxodonta africana (African savanna elephant). It matches the Rfam family "tRNA". Rfam says of the family: Transfer RNA (tRNA) molecules are approximately 80 nucleotides in length. Lineage: Eukaryota; Metazoa; Chordata; Mammalia; Proboscidea; Elephantidae. The record is from Rfam by way of RNAcentral.
GCAUUGGUGGUUCAGUGGUAGAAUUCUUGCCUUCUAUGUGGGAGACCUGGAUUUGAUUCCUGGCCAUUUCU